Molecule: ribosomal RNA, 250 nt
Filed under: uncultured bacterium
Lineage: Bacteria
Description: partial 16S ribosomal RNA
Rfam family: Bacterial small subunit ribosomal RNA
Source: RNAcentral
UACGUAGGGUGCGAGCGUUAAUCGGAAUUACUGGGCGUAAAGCGUGCGCAGGCGGUUUGUUAAGACAGUUGUGAAAGCCCCGGGCUUAACCUGGGAACUGCAAUUGUGACUGGCAAGCUAGAGUGUGGCAGAGGGGGGUGGAAUUCCACGUGUAGCAGUGAAAUGCGUAGAGAUGUGGAGGAACACCGAUGGCGAAGGCAGCCCCCUGGGCUAACACUGACGCUCAUGCACGAAAGCGUGGGGAGCAAAC